Non-coding RNA from Gossypium hirsutum (cotton), 146 nucleotides. NCBI's taxonomy places the organism in Eukaryota, Viridiplantae, Streptophyta, Magnoliopsida, Malvales, Malvaceae. The record is from Rfam.
UGUUAAAUAUUUAAUCCAUUUGUACUAUUAAAAAUUAGCGUGAUUGACAAAAUAAUUAGAUAGUAACACGUGGCAUUCUAUGUAUACCUCAUGCUGACGUACAAAAAAUCAAAUUUUGAGAGUAAAAAUGGAUUAAAUUUUUAACA